Molecule: small RNA, 30 nt
Filed under: Bombyx mori (domestic silkworm)
Lineage: Eukaryota; Metazoa; Arthropoda; Insecta; Lepidoptera; Bombycidae
Description: ovarian small RNA-16012
Source: RNAcentral
GAGUCUGCGUAUAGGUCUCAGAGGCCCUUU